GUUUAGGGUAAACUCUGGGCUUAUUCUGCGUGCAUGGACUCUGCCACUAUGUGUUCGUGCGGAUUGGGAUUCUCGGCACAAGUGUUAUAAACUGAAAUGAAAACGGACACUGAAUAGGCCUAAAAGAAAAAAAUCGUCAAAUAAAAAUGAAAACUAUAUUUACCAAAUAUAUUAUAGUGUCGGACUUUAAUCAGCAAAAAGCAGCGCUACACCACCAACAUUAUUUUGCCUCGUUUAUCCACAAUAUCUUCACUUUCAAAAGAUAAUUUUGAAAUUAUUGCUGAGCUGUCCCUUUUUUAAUUUAAGUGCUUAUUGCGUGCAUGACUUACCAAAUUUGCCGCACGUGACGUGCUCCGCUAACCGAAUGUAAUGAGCAUAAUGAUACGCCGGAUUUAUGCAGACUACUAACUUAAAUAUUUCAACCAUACUACUAAUUUGCUAAUAUUGUCGCCAAUAUAAUGUUCGUAUAGUGCCGAAAAGCUGGCGUCCGUUAUCUAAAGUCCCUGAAAUAACAUACAGAUUGCUGUUGUCAAAAUAAAAUUAAAUUAAACGGUCUAUUUGAUUUUCUUGUGUUAAAUUCAUCGUUUAGAUUAAUCGACCAAUCAGUACAAUAGUCGACAGAUUAAUCCAUAGAAAAAUAGUCGGUAGUGGCAGCCCUAGUAUAUCUGCGUGGAUGUCUGGCUUACCAGGUCAACAAAAUGAAGACAAGUUUCUGCAGCGUCUGAAAAGCAUGUUCGCCAGAUGCACACCUACGACUUAACAAUCCAAUUAUGGAUCAUGCAGUACUGGCUCUGUGUUUCGGCGCCCAAAAGCUGCGUCUGUUUCUCCAUCUGGCACUUCCCUCCCCCCACUACAAGAUUGCAACAUUGCAUCUUCUGCUUGAGCUUUCUGACGGAUGGUUGAAGCUUGCAGGCCUGGUUUGGGGCCGAUCUGCGGAUCGCUUAUCUGCUUGCCCCAGAAUAGCCAUCAGAUUUAUGAGCAGAUGUCAUAACUUGUCGUUUUGUUCGCUGACCAUUCUAGGCAUGCUUAGAUCAUGUAUAUCUGUCCUCUGUUUGCUGUUUAAUGAGAUUUGGCAACCAUUUUGCCCAUCUUGUUUUUAUUAGCUUAAGCAGUGCAUGCUAGUCCCUCCCACCAGUCAGUCCGUCACUCUGA
Brienomyrus brachyistius is the source of this 1152-nucleotide long non-coding RNA. RefSeq lists it as uncharacterized. The record is from RefSeq and is a predicted model, not a curated record. NCBI's taxonomy places the organism in Eukaryota, Metazoa, Chordata, Actinopteri, Osteoglossiformes, Mormyridae. The transcript has 3 exons.